CCUUCCCUCCUUCCUUCCUUCCCUCCUUCCCUCCUUCCCUCCUUCUCUCCUUCCCUCCUUCCUUUUUCAAUGAAGCUACUCACAAUUCUCCACCCUACAUGAAAAUUAACUCCCAUUCAGAUUGGAUCAAGAGGAUCACUGCCCUCUCCCUCCCAUCCUCACACAGCCUGCCUUCCCUCAUUCUGUGCCUUUUUCCAACAAACUGCCAUAAAUGGAAACUUUUGCCUCCUUCCAAACCCCUCCUCACUCACUUUUUAAACAAGUUAGGGUGCUUCAGAGGCUUUGAGGAUAGAGAUCCACAAAAAGUUGUAGCUAUUUCAGGGGCAGACUCACUAGCACUUUCCUUUGAAAUGAUCUUCUGCUGGGGAUUACUAUCUAAUGCACCUGGAACUACAUUAGUUUGUUCAGGCUCUUGGUUUAUCUGAAAAUCAUUUUCCAGUAAUCUUAUGUACACCAUCUGGCUAAACAUCCUGUGAGGAGCAGCCGCUGUGCAGAGAAGGAAGCUCUCUCUGCCCCAGGCCGUUGCUAAGCAGCUCAAGUAGUAACAACAAACUCAUUGAUGCCUUCUUCUGUGCCAGCCUGGGGCUGGGCAUGGCCACGCAGCCACCAGUCUCCAGGAUUUUGGCACCAUUGUAAGUACUGGAAGUCAUGGACUACAAAGAGAAAAGGUUGAGGAGGGCCAGCUCUGGUCGCUUCUCAAAUGGCAGAUUUUCAGGAGAAACCCAGCACCUGCUGAUGACUAGGAGCCAACACUGUUCUCAUUCAUCCUGGAAUCAAUUUUCUGCAGUGCAAGUUCUUGGAUAAAACCGAAAAUAACAGUACUUCUGACUGUUCAGGGAAAAUAAAGGCUUCUUGUCAUUUCUUUUCAGUGCA
This is a long non-coding RNA of Meleagris gallopavo (turkey), 873 nucleotides long. RefSeq lists it as uncharacterized. The record is from RefSeq and is a predicted model, not a curated record. Lineage: Eukaryota; Metazoa; Chordata; Aves; Galliformes; Phasianidae.